GCACUCUGAAGGAACUGCCGGUGACAAGCCGGAGGAAGGUGGGGAUGACGUCAAGUCCUCAUGGCCCUUACGGGCUGGGCUACACACGUGCUACAAUGGCAGGUACAGUGGGCAGCAAUCCCGCGAGGGUGAGCUAAUCUCCAAAACCUGUCUCAGUUCGGAUUGUUCUCUGCAACUCGAGAGCAUGAAGGCGGAAUCGCUAGUAAUCGCGGAUCAGCAUGUCGCGGUGAAUACGUUCCCGGGUCUUGUACACACCGCCCGUCACACCAUGGGAGUUGGUUUUACCUGAAGCCGGU
Molecule: ribosomal RNA, 296 nt
Filed under: Aplanochytrium sp. PBS07
Lineage: Eukaryota; Bigyra; Thraustochytrida; Thraustochytriidae
Description: partial Bacterial small subunit ribosomal RNA
Rfam family: Bacterial small subunit ribosomal RNA
Source: RNAcentral